GCGGGCGUGGCGGAAUUGGCAGACGCGCAAGAUUUAGGUUCUUGUACCCUCGUGGUGUGAAGGUUCGACUCCUUUCGCCCGCA
Molecule: transfer RNA, 83 nt
Filed under: Phycisphaerae bacterium
Lineage: Bacteria; Pseudomonadati; Planctomycetota; Phycisphaerae
Also listed under: 1 other name
Description: tRNA-Leu
Rfam family: tRNA
About the family: Transfer RNA (tRNA) molecules are approximately 80 nucleotides in length. Their secondary structure includes four short double-helical elements and three loops (D, anti-codon, and T loops).
Source: RNAcentral